Molecule: ribosomal RNA, 465 nt
Filed under: Vreelandella stevensii
Lineage: Bacteria; Pseudomonadati; Pseudomonadota; Gammaproteobacteria; Oceanospirillales; Halomonadaceae
Description: partial 16S ribosomal RNA
Rfam family: Bacterial small subunit ribosomal RNA
Source: RNAcentral
CCUACGGGUGGCUGCAGUGGGGAAUAUUGGACAAUGGGCGAAAGCCUGAUCCAGCCAUGCCGCGUGUGUGAAGAAGGCCUUCGGGUUGUAAAGCACUUUCAGUGGGGAAGAAAGCCUUGGGGCUAAUACCCUCGAGGAAGGACAUCACCCACAGAAGAAGCACCGACUAACUCCGUGCCAGCAGCCGCGGUAAUACGGAGGGUGCGAGCGUUAAUCGGAAUUACUGGGCGUAAAGCGCGCGUAGGCGGUCUGAUAAGCCGGUUGUGAAAGCCCCGGGCUCAACCUGGGAACGGCAUCCGGAACUGGCAGGCUAGAGUGCAGGAGAGGAAGGUAGAAUUCCCGGUGUAGCGGUGAAAUGCGUAGAGAUCGGGAGGAAUACCAGUGGCGAAGGCGGCCUUCUGGACUGACACUGACGCUGAGGUGCGAAAGCGUGGGUAGCAAACAGGAUUAGAUACCCCGGUAGUC